RNAcentral lists this ribosomal RNA (389 nucleotides) under uncultured bacterium. RNAcentral's name for it is "bacterial SSU rRNA". It matches the Rfam family "Bacterial small subunit ribosomal RNA", at positions 29 to 419 of the family's 1533-position model. The record is from RNAcentral.
AUUGAACGCUGGCGGAAUGCUUUACACAUGCAAGUCGAGCGGCAGCGCGGGGGCAACCCUGGCGGCGAGCGGCGAACGGGUGAGUAAUGUAUCGGAACGUACCCAGUCGUGGGGGAUAACUAUCCGAAAGGAUAGCUAAUACCGCAUACGACCUGAGGGUGAAAGCGGGGGACCGUAAGGCCUCGCGCGAUUGGAGCGGCCGAUAUCGGAUUAGCUAGUUGGUGAGGUAAAGGCUCACCAAGGCGACGAUCCGUAGCUGGUCUGAGAGGACGACCAGCCACACUGGAACUGAGACACGGUCCAGACUCCUACGGGAGGCAGCAGUGGGGAAUUUUGGACAAUGGGGGCAACCCUGAUCCAGCCAUUCCGCGUGAGUGAAGAAGGCCUUC